UUGAGGCAUUGAUAUGCACACAAAAUUAGCUUCGUGCUUCUCCAAUGACAACUGACUUUGAGGAGCUUAUUGAAGAGUUUGAGAAACUUGAAUUAGAAAUUGCACCAACCGGAGAAGAUGAGGAUGAGUCUGGUGUGGAUUUAGAUUAAGCAUU
This is a non-coding RNA of Arachis ipaensis, 154 nucleotides long. Lineage: Eukaryota; Viridiplantae; Streptophyta; Magnoliopsida; Fabales; Fabaceae. The record is from RefSeq and is a predicted model, not a curated record.